AAAAUAACAGUCUUCACUUUUAAUGACGCCAAAGACACGACAACAUCUUCAAUCCCAGUGGUAGGCACUCCAUUUUUUUUGUUUUCUGUUUUAAGCCUUUCCCAAACCUUAACCACUCGGAAUUAAUACCUAAACUGAAGUUUAACCCUAACCUUAACCAUUCGGAAUGAAUGCCUAAACGUACGUUUUAGUUGAACCUUUGUAGAGUUUUUGACUGACAGCUAAGAUACGACGCAACAUGGCGUAAUUAAAACGUCAAGCCAUUGCGUAAUUCUGUUACUGCAGUUACGCAACUGUUUGAUGUUUUAUUUGGAGAUUGGGAUUUUUUUUUUUAACAGUGUGCAUAACUGCAUUUUUUAUUUGAGAGCAGUAUGAUAUCGGCAUGCCAGACUUUGUCAGUGGAAUGUAGAAGUGAGAAAUGACCCUUGUGUUCAACACCUCCCCUGCUCAGAGGCAACACCAUCACUUGGUUUCCUGACUCUCACACCUCAUCACUACUUCAUCUGACAACUAGGUUAAUCAAUACGCUUCUGGCUUUAAAGAUCACUUAUCUCUUUUUUUUUUACGAGGUCAUCUAAACACAGUUCAAGUUUUUAAAAUAACUGGAGUUGGAAGACUGUUGUUUGAAGGGACAUGGAGGCUGUGUUUGUACUAGUGUUGGUGAUGUUAGCAGCAGUGUCCCAUGCUGAUGACCAAUGCAAGUGGAUGUGAACUGCUGUUUAAAAAGAACCUCACUGACGGUCCGACACUGAUAUUCUCACUGAAAAGAAACAAGGUGACCUUCAAGAGACCCACUGAAGACAGAUCACAGUUCUUUAUGAACAACGGGACCUUUAGGUUAACCAACGUGGAGAGGGCUGAUUCUGGGAAAUACUUCUUGGAGAUCUACGAUUCCGGAGGGGAACAUUUGGGAACCAGACGAGUACAACUGGACAUUGAAGGCAAGUAACAUCAUAAGACAAUUUCAUUCAUACCCUAUCUAUCUAAAUGACCAAAUGCAAAUCAAAUGGAAUAAGUUGGGAGCAGAACAAAGUAGCCAUACUGCCCAGUAAAAUCCAAAACACACCAAAUUCUAUGUAAAAUGUGCCGAAUACAACAGGUGUAGUAGACCUUACAGUGAAAUGCUUACUUACAAGCAAUAACCAAAAAUGCAGUAAAUAAAAAAUAAUAAUAAUUAUAAUAAUAAGAAAGAAUAAUAAAUAAUAGUAACAAAUAAUCAGUUACACUGAUAGUGACUACUUCCUCAGACACAGUAACCAUUUCCUUAAACAGUUGGAAAUACAGUAAGAUUGAAACAAAUUGUGUAACAUAGCUGAUUACAAUAUACUUAGCAUGUGUGGCAACCCUUAACAUUUAAGGUUCUGCAAAUGUAGGCCUAUGUGUACAAGCGGCUUAACGGUCAUGGAAUCAUUGAAUGCAAACAAUAAUUACUGGAUUUCAUUGAAAGAGUAAUUUACACAUCCAGUUUGGGAUUGUAGAAUCAGGGAGACGUUCUCAUAAAGGAAGUCGUAAGCCCUGUAUGUACUGUAUGUGCUUCUGCAGUUGGCACUUUCAGUAGAUUAGUGUUGUUGCCUGGUAACCGUGACCUGGAUUUGGUCAGGUGUCCUCAUCAGCUAUAAAUAAAUGUUGUGUGUAGUGAUUUACCAUUAAUGCUCAUAACCUCUCCAACAUGUUACCUCUCUUCUACCCAGGGCUAUGUCCACCCAUGGUGCUCAUUUUAGGGUCAGUGUCAGCUGGUGGUGUCAUCCUAGCAGUGAUGCUGGUAGGCUGCUGUAUUGGGAGGAGAAGGAGAAUAUUCAACACCACAGGUUAGAACAAAGCAGGCGCCCCACCCAUAAUGUUACCAUAGGUUUAUCAAUGAGGGCUACAGCACAGGGCAGGUGUGUGUGUCACCAAUACCUAAGAUUAAACUGUCAUUAAAUCACUGAUUUCACUCUCAUCUCACAUUGUUAGGUGCAGAACUCAAAGGACUUCAGCCUUCAGAAUGAGGAAGGAGGCGAUCAAACCUGUGGAAACCUAUAACGGAGAGGAGAUAGAGGUUGUGGAGGCUGCUCAGGGGAGGACGGCUCAUAGUAAUGGCUGGAAUGGAGUUAAUGGAAUGGUAUCAAACGUGGUUUCCAUGUGGUUAAUAUAAUUCCAUUGACUCCAUUCCAGCCAUUAAUAUGAGCCGUCCUUCCCUCAGCAACCUCCACUGUUGUGGAGGCAUUAGUGGACCUAUAGUAGCAGACAGAGGUUAUUGAUAAGAAACUUGAAUGGAAAGAACAUAUUGAUUGAUUUAUUGUGCUCCAACCAGAGACCACAUUACAUACAGGCAGUUAACCCACUGUUCCUAGGCCGUCAUUGAAAAUAAGAAUUUGUUCUUAACUGACUUGCCUAGUUAAAUAAAGGUAAAAUAAAUAAAUAAAUAAAUAAAAUACAUGAAUACAUUAUCGAGGAUAAAAACACAAAGCCCGGAGUCUUAUUUCCAUUGGGGUCUUCUUUUGGCAGUGAGAUGGCAGACACUUUUCAUGCACUCAAUGCAAUGAAAAUGAAGAACAGUAGCCAUUUCCAACCAUUUCCAACCAUUUCCAUUUAAAACAAUUUAGAACAAUAUCAACAGCACAGAGGUCCCGUUUGAGUCACCUCGUCAAAGAAUACCCUUAAUCAAAUGGACAUGUUAUUUCUCAGGUAUGUUUUUAGUGACACCUUAAAGCAAUUCUAUGAUGACAGAGUAUUCAGGUAGCUUGGUAAAACUGUUCCAUAGAACUGCAGCAGAAUACAGGAAAUAGUUUUCCACCAUGGAGCUCUUGAAUCUACAGGGAACAAAGUUUCCUCUGGUGGAAUACUGAUUGGUGUCAUUUAUACGGCUAAAAUAAUGUUGUUGUCAAACCCCAAUUUAAACUGGGUGACUUUAGUUUCCACCUUGAGCCGUUUCAGUUCAUCAAAGUGAGAUGGUUCAAGAUGAAUAUUAGGUGGACGUUUCAGAAUAAUCUUGGCUCUUAUUCUGAGAGGUCAUAGGAUUGUUCUUUAUACCUUUAGGGGAACCGCUGUACCAAGAGGCACAACAAUAAUCAAAAUGACACUGCAUACCAGUACCUAUUUCCUUUGUUCUUUCAUUGUAUGCAUCCAUUGACUUCUAAUAAGUAUUUCUUAUGGCAUUGGCUGGUUUCUAUCAGUUUUAUCAGUUAUUUUGCCAGCUAUGAAUUGGCAGUGGCGUUAAAUUACAUGAAUUACAUUCCCUCCAUAAAUGGAAACUAAUUGUAUUUUAAUACUUUUUUUUUCAUGAGAAAUAAACAAUGAAUCUGUAUCACUUUUUCCAAAUGAAGAAGAUAUUAAACCUCACACUUUUUGUAUGGGUUCCUCUUUUCAGAGAAGAAGUGAUAUUUAAUGUCAAACGUACUGUAUAUUAGUAAUUAUAUUAGUUCAUUUUACUCAAAAAGAAACAACCGGUACCGUUCAGACAGUUCUCUAAACUACAGACUGGAACAACUCUUAGAUGCUCAGACUGUACGCAGCCAGAUAGAGUGCCUUCGGAAAGUAUUCAGACCACUUGACAUUCUUACGUUACAGCCUCAUUCUAAAACGUAUUAAAACUGUUUUUUUCCCCUCAUCAAUCUAUACACAAUAUCCCAC
This 3612-nucleotide long non-coding RNA is filed under the name Oncorhynchus mykiss (rainbow trout). Its description in RNAcentral is "lncRNA (ENSOMYG00000070925.1)". The record is from RNAcentral. Lineage: Eukaryota; Metazoa; Chordata; Actinopteri; Salmoniformes; Salmonidae.